Long non-coding RNA from Odocoileus virginianus texanus, 1085 nucleotides. RefSeq lists it as uncharacterized. Lineage: Eukaryota; Metazoa; Chordata; Mammalia; Artiodactyla; Cervidae. The record is from RefSeq and is a predicted model, not a curated record.
AUGAACUGGAGAUUAUGAAGAGAGUGAUGGUGGGUUUGGGGGGAAAAAGAGAAACUGAAGAAAACUCCACAGAGAGUAGCAGGGCCCUGGAGGUGACAGGAGGCCUGAUGCCACGGAAGCUGAGGGGCUGGAUAAGUUUAUGGAUAUUCCGGUGCAACACCAGGAUGGGAGGGCAGUCUCCAUGGUGACGUGGAGGCCCCUGGGGCCAAGAUGUGGGGGGAGAAGUAGACUAUCACUGUCCUGGGUCCUAUGGUCCUGGCUCUUGUCCCUCUUCUGGCCUCUGUGGAGCCAAGUAUCCUGCUGUCCCUGGGUCCCUAUGAGCAUCCAGUAGUCUUCAUAACCAAGCACAGUCAUGCAAAUGAGGCCUACACUUGAAUCAAACUGGAGAAACCUGGAAUGAAAACACAGUGCCCCAGGUGGGCAGGGCCCGCAAGGUAGACCGAAUCCUAGAUGUUUCUGCCAGAAGGAGUCUGUCCGCAAAUAGAAUGCAGCCUCCCUCUGCGAAGUGAGAGGCUAUCUGAGUGUCUGAUUUCUGGAGCCCCCUCCAUGUCCCCAGCAGAUGUGCAUCCACUUGGAAACACAACACAGGAUUCAAAGAUGUUCUACAUGUCCCCAAGUCUUGGAUCUCUCCAGUGCCUCAUCAGUGAUGCCUUGAGAGGAGUGGAGAUCAGAGGGACAAGGCACUUCAUUCCUAUGAGUCUACAAGCAACCUGAGAGCAGUUCUGUGCAAUUGUCAUCUUGCCUAGCACCCUGCAUUGUGUGGAGCAGACUGGGGCAGACACUGCUACUGUUCCAACUACUCAUUCUCCCCUCCUUCCUCUGAAGAGCUCGCAUUCCUGCUGGGAAGGUAAACUCACUCACAUGAAUUGACUUGCGGUGAACUCCACUCCAAAGGCUUUGCUCUUUGUGAAACUGCAAAAGAGCCACACUCUGGAGAACUGGUAAGAGAAGGGGGCACAGGUGAGAGGACAGGAUUGCAGAUGAGACAAUUCGGACACAGAGGAGAGGGCAGGGUGCAGUUGAGAAAGUGGGGGUACAGGUAAGAAGACAAAGGCCCAGGCUAGCACUUACGGGGAUGAGGCGAG